AUACAUGCAGUCGAGCGAAUGGAUUAAGAGCUUGCUCUUAUGAAGUUAGCGGCGGACGGGUGAGUAACACGUGGGUAACCUGCCCAUAAGACUGGGAUAACUCCGGGAAACCGGGGCUAAUACCGGAUAACAUUUUGAACUGCAUGGUUCGAAAUUGAAAGGCGGCUUCGGCUGUCACUUAUGGAUGGACCCGCGUCGCAUUAGCUAGUUGGUGAGGUAACGGCUCACCAAGGCAACGAUGCGUAGCCGACCUGAGAGGGUGAUCGGCCACACUGGGACUGAGACACGGCCCAGACUCCUACGGGAGGCAGCAGUAGGGAAUCUUCCGCAAUGGACGAAAGUCUGACGGAGCAACGCCGCGUGAGUGAUGAAGGCUUUCGGGUCGUAAAACUCUGUUGUUAGGGAAGAACAAGUGCUAGUUGAAUAAGCUGGCACCUUGACGGUACCUAACCAGAAAGCCACGGCUAACUACGUGCCAGCAGCCGCGGUAAUACGUAGGUGGCAAGCGUUAUCCGGAAUUAUUGGGCGUAAAGCGCGCGCAGGUGGUUUCUUAAGUCUGAUGUGAAAGCCCACGGCUCAACCGUGGAGGGUCAUUGGAAACUGGGAGACUUGAGUGCAGAAGAGGAAAGU
Molecule: ribosomal RNA, 630 nt
Filed under: Bacillus sp. (in: firmicutes)
Lineage: Bacteria; Bacillati; Bacillota; Bacilli; Caryophanales; Bacillaceae
Description: bacterial SSU rRNA
Rfam family: Bacterial small subunit ribosomal RNA
Source: RNAcentral